RNAcentral lists this ribosomal RNA (254 nucleotides) under uncultured bacterium. Its description in RNAcentral is "partial 16S ribosomal RNA". It matches the Rfam family "Bacterial small subunit ribosomal RNA", at positions 524 to 777 of the family's 1533-position model. The record is from RNAcentral.
UACAGAGGUCUCAAGCGUUGUUCGGAUUCAUUGGGCGUAAAGGGUGCGUAGGCGGCGCGGUAAGUCGGGUGUGAAAUUUCGAGGCUUAACUUCGAAACUGCAUUCGAUACUGCCGUGCUUGAGGACUGGAGAGGAGACUGGAAUUUACGGUGUAGCGGUGAAAUGCGUAGAUAUCGUAAGGAAGACCAGUGGCGAAGGCGGGUCUCUGGACAGUUCCUGACGCUGAGGCACGAAGGCCAGGGGAGCAAAACGGG